ACUGUUCUGCUGACGCUUAGUGGCAUUUCUGGCUGGAAGUCGACUGUGCGAGUAGAAAUUGUGCUGAAUUGAAAGGAUUUGGCUUGAUAUUGCCAGUAAAGGCAAGACUCACAUCACGUGCCUUUUCUGCGUCAACCAGGUCGCCAUGAUGAAAUACGUUGUAUUUUGCUCCACACUCUUCUCUUAGACAAGGCUUGCAACAAUGGGGAAGAUAGAGAGGAGAGAGAGAGGAACGCAGAGAUGAGAGAGAGGAAGGCAGAGA
This is a long non-coding RNA of Priapulus caudatus, 262 nucleotides long. RefSeq lists it as uncharacterized. The transcript is spliced from 3 exons. The record is from RefSeq and is a predicted model, not a curated record. Lineage: Eukaryota; Metazoa; Priapulida; Priapulimorpha; Priapulimorphida; Priapulidae.